Molecule: unclassified non-coding RNA, 239 nt
Filed under: Hevea brasiliensis (rubber tree)
Lineage: Eukaryota; Viridiplantae; Streptophyta; Magnoliopsida; Malpighiales; Euphorbiaceae
Source: RNAcentral
AAAAUGUCAAAUUUUUUUUUAAGCAAAAGAAAUUUGACAUUUUCUAAAACUAUCAAUACCACAGAUACAAAUGAUACAUUAAAUUGUAUGGGAGAAGAAACGGGUUAAAGAUACUUGGGUGUUACAACUGCACAGAAAAAAUUAAUUCAAUGAAAUACAGAUUGCAGAUGAUUUUAUUUAUUACUAAUUAUAAAAGAGGAUAAAAUUUAUAUAAUAAUUAGUAAUAAGAGUCAACAUAA